Molecule: long non-coding RNA, 256 nt
Filed under: Serinus canaria (Common canary)
Lineage: Eukaryota; Metazoa; Chordata; Aves; Passeriformes; Fringillidae
Description: lncRNA (ENSSCAG00000015852.1)
Source: RNAcentral
UUUUGCCUUCAAUAAAGAGCUAAGCUGUGACUCCUGCCUUAAAAUUCUGUCAAAAUUGUGAAUGCUGGUUUUGAAUUACUUUGCUACCUGAAGAUUGUUGUCAAAGUGACUGUUUCUUCUAAGGAAAGGAGCAAGCUUUUGGAGGAAGGAGAUGGAAGAAAAAAACAGGCUUGGAAGGAAGCCUAAAAUAUACAGAGGGGAAGUGAAUGAGCAUAGCUGAAAGCAAGAAUUCAAAGGAAAUAGAACUGUGAGUGAA